UAACAUAUGCACUUAAUAAUAAAAUUCAUAUACGAUUGCUCCUAUAUUGGUAUCUCCUUAUUUCCCGGACUAUUUGCAGUUAGGUCUAUUGGAAUCAUCUCUUUACCUUCUACGAGGUAAAGGCAAGUCUGCGUACAUUUUAUCCUCCCCGCCUUACUUGUGUUGUUGUCGGUAAAAAUUCUGACUCUGUCACUGUGAAAGGACGGUCUAU
RNAcentral lists this long non-coding RNA (211 nucleotides) under Capsicum annuum. RNAcentral's name for it is "long non-coding RNA (CANN_LNC006207)". Lineage: Eukaryota; Viridiplantae; Streptophyta; Magnoliopsida; Solanales; Solanaceae. The record is from RNAcentral.